ACGUCUACGAGUUUGAUCAUGGCUCAGGAUGAACGCUAGCGGGAGGCCUAAUACAUGCAAGUCGAACGGUAAGGCUCUUUCGGGGAGUACACGAGUGGCGGACGGGUGCGUAACGCGUACGGAAUAUACCUUUAACAGGGGGAUACCUUCGGGAAACUGGAAAUAAUACCCCAUAACAUUAUUGAGUCACAUGGUUUAAUAAUCAAAACUUAGGUGGUUAAAGAUUAUCGUGCGUCUGAUUAGCUAGUUGGUGAGGUAGAGGCUCACCAAGGCGAUGAUCAGUAGCUGGUCUGAGAGGAUGAUCAGCCACACUGGGACUGAGACACGGCCCAGACUCCUACGGGAGGCAGCAGUAGGGAAUAUUGGACAAUGGGCGGAAGCCUGAUCCAGCCAUCCCGCGUGCAGGAAUAAGGCCCUAUGGGUUGUAAACUGCUUUUAAUAGGGAAGAAAAGCUCCAUUUAUGGGGUGUUGACGGUACCUAAAGAAUAAGCACCGGCUAACUCCGUG
This 507-nucleotide ribosomal RNA is filed under the name uncultured bacterium. RNAcentral describes it as "bacterial SSU rRNA". It matches the Rfam family "Bacterial small subunit ribosomal RNA", at positions 1 to 507 of the family's 1533-position model. The record is from RNAcentral.